AACGAACGCUGGCGGCAUGCCUAACACAUGCAAGUCGAACGAGACCUUCGGGUCUAGUGGCGCACGGGUGCGUAACGCGUGGGAACCUGCCCUUAGGUUCGGAAUAACUCCCCGAAAGGGGUGCUAAUACCGGAUAAUGUCUUCGGACCAAAGAUUUAUCGCCUUUGGAUGGGCCCGCGUUGGAUUAGCUAGUUGGUAGGGUAAAAGCCUACCAAGGCGAAGAUCCAUAGCUGGUCUGAGAGGAUGAUCAGCCACACUGGGACUGAGACACGGCCCAGACUCCUACGGGAGGCAGCAGUGGGGAAUAUUGGACAAUGGGCGAAAGCCUGAUCCAGCAAUGCCGCGUGAGUGAUGAAGGCCUUAGGGUUGUAAAGCUCUUUUACCCGGGAUGAUAAUGACAGUACCGGGAGAAUAAGCGCCGGCUAACUCCGUG
RNAcentral lists this ribosomal RNA (433 nucleotides) under uncultured bacterium. RNAcentral's name for it is "partial 16S ribosomal RNA". It matches the Rfam family "Bacterial small subunit ribosomal RNA", at positions 29 to 507 of the family's 1533-position model. The record is from RNAcentral.